Molecule: ribosomal RNA, 460 nt
Filed under: uncultured bacterium
Lineage: Bacteria
Description: partial 16S ribosomal RNA
Rfam family: Bacterial small subunit ribosomal RNA
Source: RNAcentral
CCUACGGGUGGCAGCAGUGAGGAAUAUUGGGCAAUGGCCGGAAGGCUGAACCAGCCAUGCCGCGUGAAGGUCAGUGCCCUUUGGGCGGUAAACUUCUGUUGUGCGGGAGCAAUAAUGGUCACGUGUGGCCAGACGAGAGUACCGUACGAAUAAGCAUCAGCUAACUCCGUGCCAGCAGCCGCGGUAAUACGGGGGAUGCAAGCGUUAUCCGGAUUUAUUGGGUCUAAAGGGUGCGUAGGCUGGGAGGUAAGUCAGCGGUGAAAUGCCCCCGCUCAACGGGGUGAAGUGCCAUUGAUACUGGCUUGCUGGAAUGCGGAUGACGUGGGAGGAAUGUGUGGUGUAGCGGUGAAAUGCAUAGAUAUCACACAGAACACCGAUUGCGAAGGCAUCUCACGAAUCCGCGAUUGACGCUGAUGCACGAAAGCGUGGGUAUCAAACAGGAUUAGAUACCCUGGUAGUC